Paramuricea clavata is the source of this 76-nucleotide non-coding RNA. The record is from the annotation of a GenBank genome assembly. Lineage: Eukaryota; Metazoa; Cnidaria; Anthozoa; Malacalcyonacea; Plexauridae.
AACUUUCAAAUUUCCGACAAACCCCCUCAUUUGCACUUUCGAGUGCAAAUGAGGGGGUUUGUCGGAAAUUUGAAAG